This is a small nuclear RNA of Peromyscus leucopus (white-footed mouse), 104 nucleotides long. NCBI's taxonomy places the organism in Eukaryota, Metazoa, Chordata, Mammalia, Rodentia, Cricetidae. The record is from RefSeq and is a predicted model, not a curated record.
GUUCUCGCUUCGGCAGUAUGUAUACUAAAAUUGAAACAAUACAGAGAUUAGCAUGGUCCCUUUGCAAGGAUAACAUGCAAAUUCAUGAAGCAUUCCAUAUUUUU